GGCUCUGUGUGUGUGUGUGUGUGUGUGUGUGUGUGUGUGUGUGUGUGUGUCCGGGCGUGAGCACACGUCCACGCCCGCACACUC
This 84-nucleotide microRNA precursor is filed under the name Loxodonta africana (African savanna elephant). Its description in RNAcentral is "miRNA (ENSLAFG00000023731.1)". Lineage: Eukaryota; Metazoa; Chordata; Mammalia; Proboscidea; Elephantidae. The record is from RNAcentral.